This 240-nucleotide ribosomal RNA is filed under the name Listeria monocytogenes. Its description in RNAcentral is "partial 16S ribosomal RNA". It matches the Rfam family "Bacterial small subunit ribosomal RNA", at positions 1 to 222 of the family's 1533-position model. Lineage: Bacteria; Bacillati; Bacillota; Bacilli; Caryophanales; Listeriaceae. The record is from RNAcentral.
UAUUUUAAAGAGAGUUUGAUCCUGGCUCAGGACGAACGCUGGCGGCGUGCCUAAUACAUGCAAGUCGAACGAACGGAGGAAGAGCUUGCUCUUCCAAUGUUAGUGGCGGACGGGUGAGUAACACGUGGGCAACCUGCCUGUAAGUUGGGGAUAACUCCGGGAAACCGGGGCUAAUACCGAAUGAUAAAAUGUGGCGCAUGCCACGCUUUUUGAAAAGAUGGGUUUUCGGCUAUCGCUUAC